GACGAACGGCUGGCGGCGUGGAUUAGGCAUGCAAGUCGAACGGUAUCAUCCUUCGGGGGUGAGAGAGUGGCGAACUGGUGAGUAACACGUAGGUUAUCUACCCUCAAGACGGGGACAACCCAGGGAAAACUUGGGCUAAUACCGGAUGUGAGCAACUUUUAGUUGUUUGAAAGGUGGCGUAAGCUGUCGCUUGGGGAUGAGCCUGCGUCCUAUUAGUUAGUUGGUGAGGUAACGGCUCACCUAGGCAAUGAUAGGUAGGCGGCCUUAACGGGUGGUCGCCCACACUGGGAUUGAGAUACGGCCCAGACUCCUACGGGAGGCAGCAGUCGAGAAUAGUCUACAAUGGUCGGAAGACUGAUAGUGCGACGCCGCGUGAACGAUGAAUCCCUUCGGGGUGUAAAGUUCUUUUAUAUGUGAGCAGUGCUUCUUAUAUUAACAGUAUGGGGAGAGAGAUAUUAGCAUAUGAAUAAGCAACGGCUAACUCCGUG
Molecule: ribosomal RNA, 488 nt
Filed under: uncultured bacterium
Lineage: Bacteria
Description: bacterial SSU rRNA
Rfam family: Bacterial small subunit ribosomal RNA
Source: RNAcentral